GUGCUUGCUUCAGCAGCACAUAUACUAAAAUUGGAAUGAUAACAGGGAACAUUAGCAGGGUCCCUGCCCAAGGAUGACAUGCAAAUUCAUGAAGCAUUCAUUUUUUUC
This is a small nuclear RNA of Octodon degus (degu), 108 nucleotides long. NCBI's taxonomy places the organism in Eukaryota, Metazoa, Chordata, Mammalia, Rodentia, Octodontidae. The record is from Ensembl.